This 447-nucleotide ribosomal RNA is filed under the name uncultured bacterium. RNAcentral describes it as "partial 16S ribosomal RNA". It matches the Rfam family "Bacterial small subunit ribosomal RNA", at positions 29 to 523 of the family's 1533-position model. The record is from RNAcentral.
AACGAACGCUGGCGGCAGGCUUAACACAUGCAAGUCGAGCGCCCCGCAAGGGGAGCGGCAGACGGGUGAGUAACGCGUGGGAAUCUACCUUUUGCUACGGAAUAACUCAGGGAAACUUGUGCUAAUACCGUAUGUGCCCUUCGGGGGAAAGAUUUAUCGGCAAAGGAUGAGCCCGCGUUGGAUUAGCUAGUUGGUGGGGUAAAGGCCUACCAAGGCGACGAUCCAUAGCUGGUCUGAGAGGAUGAUCAGCCACAUUGGGACUGAGACACGGCCCAAACUCCUACGGGAGGCAGCAGUGGGGAAUAUUGGACAAUGGGCGCAAGCCUGAUCCAGCCAUGCCGCGUGAGUGAUGAAGGCCUUAGGGUUGUAAAGCUCUUUCACCGGUGAAGAUAAUGACGGUAACCGGAGAAGAAGCCCCGGCUAACUUCGUGCCAGCCGCCGCGGUAA